AUUGAACGCUGGCGGCAUGCCUUACACAUGCAAGUCGAACGGCAGCACGGGAGCAAUCCUGGUGGCGAGUGGCGAACGGGUGAGUAAAGUAUCGGAACGUGCCCAGUCGUGGGGGAUAACGUAGCGAAAGUUACGCUAAUACCGCAUACGAUCUAUGGAUGAAAGCGGGGGAUCGCAAGACCGCGCGCGAUUGGAGCGGCCGAUAUCAGACUAGGUAGUUGGUGGGGUAAAGGCUCACCAAGCCGACGAUCUGUAGCUGGUCUGAGAGGACGACCAGCCACACUGGGAAUGAGACACGGCCCAGACUCCUACGGGAGGCAGCAGUGGGGAAUUUUGGACAAUUGGCGAAAGCCUGAUCCAGCCAUGCCGGGUGCAGGAUGAAGGCCUUCGGGUUGUAAACUGCUUUUGUACGGAACGAAAAGGUUUGGCCUAAUAAGCUGAGCUCAUGACGGUACCGUAAGAAUAAGCACCGGCUAACUACGUGCCAGCCGCCGCCGUAA
RNAcentral lists this ribosomal RNA (500 nucleotides) under uncultured bacterium. RNAcentral describes it as "partial 16S ribosomal RNA". It matches the Rfam family "Bacterial small subunit ribosomal RNA", at positions 30 to 523 of the family's 1533-position model. The record is from RNAcentral.